Molecule: transfer RNA, 68 nt
Filed under: Marmota monax (woodchuck)
Lineage: Eukaryota; Metazoa; Chordata; Mammalia; Rodentia; Sciuridae
Description: tRNA.Gly
Rfam family: tRNA (bases 3-63)
About the family: Transfer RNA (tRNA) molecules are approximately 80 nucleotides in length. Their secondary structure includes four short double-helical elements and three loops (D, anti-codon, and T loops).
Source: RNAcentral
GUUGUGGCUCAGAGGUAGAGCACUCACCUGCCAUGUGUGAGGUACUGGGUUCGAUCCUCAGUACCACA